RNAcentral lists this long non-coding RNA (1018 nucleotides) under Calidris pugnax (ruff). Its description in RNAcentral is "lncRNA (ENSCPUG00000001610.1)". Lineage: Eukaryota; Metazoa; Chordata; Aves; Charadriiformes; Scolopacidae. The record is from RNAcentral.
AGCAGAGACCAAUUGGCCACUGAGAUUUCUCAUGAAUGCCCCUUCGCUUGGUUUUCGGGCUGGAGGAGCUGUGUAGGAGCUGCUGUGCUGGUUGCAAGCCAGAAGGCUAUCUCCUUGCACUGGGGUGAUCCUUCCUUGGCUGGGUCUUCUGGCCUCCGGCUGUUUGCACUGUGAGGAUGGCACAAAGCAGCCUUACUUCAGGGAAGGAUUGGGGCCCGGGCCUUAUCUCACUUUGAUUAUAUUAAAUAAUCUAUCUGUCUGCCACGUUAUUUACAUAACUCUUAUUUAAAUAGUUUUACAUCAGACACACUGAAUCAUGAGACUGAAAGUCUAGACGAUGCUUGCUCGGCUCAGCCUGCCUUUAACCCUCCUGCAUUGCCAUUUUUCUUGUCUCUCCCUUCAGGAUUACCCUGCUCUGUGCUCUGCGUUUGGUCCUGGCGGGACAUAAGCUGUGCCUGGUGGUCCCAGGAAUUAAGAGUGAGCAAAUUUAAAUUGCGGAAGGGAGAGAUAAAUUCUUGGACUUAAUUCAGCAGGCAUCGAUGCAAUUUGCUAAAGCACAAGUUCGUGGAUCCCAUGACAGCAAGAUGAAGCAGAGAAGAAGACAGUGUGUUCAUAAAUGGAAGAGCAACGCAGCGCUGUAGUGUGCUUACACAGUGCUCUGCGCCUGUGAAUGCAUCCCGAGGUAUUUUACACAGACAGUACCUUCUUUUACUGGGCUUGCAACAGAAGUGCUUUACACCUCUGAGGAGAGGAAACCUUAACGACAUGCCUGCGAAGCGAGGGAGUCUGAAGGCGAGCGUCAUGUCACGCCUUAUCAUUGCAUCAGGCCCCAGAGACAUUCCUGAGGUCCAGACCUGGAGCGUGACCUCCCUCGACCCGACCCAUCAGCGCUCAGAGGUACUUUUCUGCUGCUGCGACCUCCACAUCUCUACGAAUUUCUACAGCAUUUAAAAUAGGGUAUGAAGAAUGGACAAUCCAUUUUCUGGGUGUAAGAUAUUACCAUUGUCCUUCUGUGCAC